RNAcentral lists this ribosomal RNA (301 nucleotides) under uncultured bacterium. RNAcentral describes it as "partial 16S ribosomal RNA". It matches the Rfam family "Bacterial small subunit ribosomal RNA", at positions 509 to 808 of the family's 1533-position model. The record is from RNAcentral.
CAGCAGCCACGGGAAUACGUAGGUGGCAAGCGUUGUCCGGAUUUAUUGGGCGUAAAGCGAGCGCAGGCGGUUAGAUAAGUCCGAAGUUAAAGGCUGUGGCUUAACCAUAGUACGCUUUGGAAACUGUUUAACUUGAGUGCAAGAGGGGAGAGUGGAAUUCCAUGUGUAGCGGUGAAAUGCGUAGAUAUAUGGAGGAACACCGGUGGCGAAAGCGGCUCUCUGGCUUGUAACUGACGCUGAGGCUCGAGAGCGUGGGGAGCAAACAGGAUUAGAUACCCCGGUAGUCCCUGUCUCUUAUACA